Molecule: ribosomal RNA, 352 nt
Filed under: uncultured Rhodococcus sp.
Lineage: Bacteria; Bacillati; Actinomycetota; Actinomycetes; Mycobacteriales; Nocardiaceae
Description: bacterial SSU rRNA
Rfam family: Bacterial small subunit ribosomal RNA
Source: RNAcentral
ACACAGGUGCUGCAUGGCUGUCGUCAGCUCGUGUCGUGAGAUGUUGGGUUAAGUCCCGCAACGAGCGCAACCCUUGUCUUAUGUUGCCAGCACGUGAUGGUGGGGACUCGUAAGAGACUGCCGGGGUCAACUCGGAGGAAGGUGGGGACGACGUCAAGUCAUCAUGCCCCUUAUGUCCAGGGCCUCACACAUGCUACAAUGGCCAGUACAGAGGGCUGCGAGACCGUGAGGUGGAGCGAAUCCCUUAAAGCUGGUCUCAGUUCGGAUCGGGGUCUGCAACUCGACCCCGUGAAGUCGGAGUCGCUAGUAAUCGCAGAUCAGCAACGCUGCGGUGAAUACGUUCCCGGGCCUU